CACCCUAGCAGUGGGCAAAGAGACACUUCGUUGGUGGUGUUGUUCUUAUAUCAGCCAAGGACAGAGCAGAUGGCGGUCCUUUGUUCAUUCUAGCUUGAUGCCCAGCUUGGUGGACAAAGCUAUCUUAUGCCUAGAACUCAUAA
Mus pahari (shrew mouse) is the source of this 143-nucleotide small nucleolar RNA. RefSeq annotates it as small nucleolar RNA SNORA48. The transcript has a single exon. Lineage: Eukaryota; Metazoa; Chordata; Mammalia; Rodentia; Muridae. The record is from RefSeq and is a predicted model, not a curated record.